AGAUUGAACGCUGGCGGCAUGCCUAACACAUGCAAGUCGAACGGGAGUAGCAAUACUCUAGUGGCGGACGGGUGAGGAAUACGUAGGAAUUUGCCCUUAAGCGGGGGAUAACCCGGGGAAACCCGGAUUAAUACCGCAUGACCUCGAAAGAGCGAAAGUGGGGGAUCGACAAGACCUCACGCUUUGGAGAAGCCUACGUCGGAUUAGCGUAGUUGGUGAGGUAAUGGCUCACCAAGGCGACGACUCCGUAACUGGUCUGAGAGGAUGGAUCAGUCACACCGGAACUGAGACGACGGUCCCGGACGUCCGUACGGGACGGCGAGGCAGGU
RNAcentral lists this ribosomal RNA (329 nucleotides) under uncultured soil bacterium. RNAcentral's name for it is "bacterial SSU rRNA". It matches the Rfam family "Bacterial small subunit ribosomal RNA", at positions 26 to 356 of the family's 1533-position model. The record is from RNAcentral.